AUUGAACGCUGGCGGCAGGCUUAACACAUGCAAGUCGAGCGAGCGGCGGACGGGUGAGUAAUGUCUGGGAAACUGCCUGAUGGAGGGGGAUAACUACUGGAAACGGUAGCUAAUACCGCAUACCAUCCGAUGUGCCCAGAUGGGAUUAGUGAGUUGGUGAGGUAAAGGCUCACCAAGCCGACGAUCUCUAGCUGGUCUGAGAGGAUGACCAGCCAAACUGGGACUGAGACACGGCCCAUACUCCAACGGGAGGCAGCAGUGGGGAAUAGUGCGCAAGGGGGGCAACCCUGACGCAGACAUGCCGAGUGAAUGAAGAAGGCCUUCGGGUUGUAAAGUUCUUUCGGUAGCGAGGCGUUAACUACAGAAGAAGCACCGGCUAACUCCGUGCCAGCAGCCGCGGUAAUUC
RNAcentral lists this ribosomal RNA (406 nucleotides) under uncultured bacterium. RNAcentral describes it as "partial 16S ribosomal RNA". It matches the Rfam family "Bacterial small subunit ribosomal RNA", at positions 30 to 526 of the family's 1533-position model. The record is from RNAcentral.